Molecule: non-coding RNA, 26 nt
Filed under: Cricetulus griseus (Chinese hamster)
Lineage: Eukaryota; Metazoa; Chordata; Mammalia; Rodentia; Cricetidae
Source: RNAcentral
AGACAAAGAACUCCCUUUUCCCAAGU